Long non-coding RNA from Rhinopithecus roxellana (golden snub-nosed monkey), 999 nucleotides. RefSeq lists it as uncharacterized. The transcript is spliced from 5 exons. The record is from RefSeq and is a predicted model, not a curated record. NCBI's taxonomy places the organism in Eukaryota, Metazoa, Chordata, Mammalia, Primates, Cercopithecidae.
UUAAACUUUUUUUUUUUUUUUUUUUUUUUUUUUUAAAGCUCUUUGCUACUGCUCACUGUUUUGGGGCCGUGCUGCCUUUAUGAGCUGUCACACUUCCCACGAAGGUCUGCAGCUUCACUGCUGAAGCAAGCAAGACCACGAAGCCACUGGGAAAAACGAACAACUUAAGACGCGGUGUCUUUAAGAACUGUAAUACUACAAAGGUCUGCAGGUUCACUCCUGACAGUGAGACCACGAACCCACCAGAAGGAAGAAGUUCCAGACACAGCUGAACCUCUGAAGGAACAAACGGCGGACACACCAUAUUUAAGUAACUGUAGCACUUACAGUGAGGGUCUGUGGCUUCAUUCUUGAAGUCAGUGAGACCAACAACCCAGCAAUUCCGGACGCACUAUGGCUCUGCAACUGAGAAUGCUUAUGCAAAUAAGCAUGUAAACAACCUGCCAUACCGUUGCAGAAAGGCAAAUAGGGUUAAAAUUGGAGACAAGACUUCCAUCAUUUUUGCCAAGCAGAGAGGGAAGAACUCAGCAAUCAUAUAAUUCUGCUCAAAACAAUAUCCAGGAAAAUAGUCCAGGACUGGUACAACUGUUCUAGGAAGUUACCAAGGCUCUGCAAAGGCAUCUGAGGGGACUCAGGAAGCACGUGAGCCUACAGCUGAACUUCACUGUAGAAAGUUGUCAGAAAGGCCAAGAGCUGAAGCAGAAGAGCAAGCAAGAAAGAAAAUUCUCUGCAGGCUCUGUCUUGUACUGGAGUUGCUACCUUUAGCCCGCUGGAUCACUGUGCUUGAAAUUCCCACAUUAUUCGUUCUGCAAAGUUAAGACAUAAAAUAAGAUCCUGACAAAGGAGCCUUUCCUUUGACCAGUCUCACUCUGUUGCCCAGGCUGGAGUGCAGUGGCAUAAUCAAAGCUCACUUCAUCCUCAAGCUCCCAGACUGAAGUGAUCUUCCCACCUUAGCCUUCUGAGUAGCUAGGACUACAGAUAUGCACCACCACACCUGGC